This is a small nuclear RNA of Mesocricetus auratus (golden hamster), 189 nucleotides long. RefSeq annotates it as U2 spliceosomal RNA. Lineage: Eukaryota; Metazoa; Chordata; Mammalia; Rodentia; Cricetidae. The transcript has a single exon. The record is from RefSeq and is a predicted model, not a curated record.
GUCACUUCUCUGUAAUAUUCCUAAGAGAAAAAAAUGUUAUCUGUUCUUACCAGUUUAAUAAAUGAUAUGUCCUCUAUCUAAGGAUAAUUAGAUGCAUUCAUUGGAAAUAGGAGAUAUGAUAGGAACUUGCUUUGUCUGCUGCUUGAAUCAACCUGAUAUUGAAGUAACUCCAGAAAUAGAGUACCCUCC